This 512-nucleotide ribosomal RNA is filed under the name uncultured bacterium. RNAcentral describes it as "partial 16S ribosomal RNA". It matches the Rfam family "Bacterial small subunit ribosomal RNA", at positions 28 to 507 of the family's 1533-position model. The record is from RNAcentral.
GAUGAACGCUGGCGGCGUGCCUAAUACAUGCAAGUCGAACGAAACUUCUUUAUCACCGAGUGCUUGCACUCACCGAUAAAGAGUUGAGUGGCGAACGGGUGAGUAACACGUGGGCAACCUGCCCAAAAGAGGGGGAUAACACUUGGAAACAGGUUCUAAUACCGCAUAACCAUAGUUACUGCAUGGUAACUAUGUAAAAGGUGGCUAUACUACCGCUUUUGGAUGGGCCCGCGGCGCAUUAGCUAGUUGGUAGGGUAAAGGCUUACCAAGGCAAUGAUGCGUAGCCGAAUUGAGAGGUUGAUCGGCCACAUUGGGACUGAGACACGGCCCAAACUCCUACGGGAGGCAGCAGUAGGGAAUCUUCCACAAUGGGCGAAAGCCUGAUGGAGCAACGCCGCGUGGGUGAAGAAGGUCUUCGGAUCGUAAAACCCUGUUGUUAGGGAAGAAAGUGCGUGAGAGUAACUGUUCACGUUUCGACGGUAUCUAACCGGAAAGCCACGGCUAACUACGUG